RNAcentral lists this ribosomal RNA (1892 nucleotides) under Heterolobosea sp. FUM1. RNAcentral's name for it is "bacterial SSU rRNA". It matches the Rfam family "Eukaryotic small subunit ribosomal RNA". Lineage: Eukaryota; Heterolobosea. The record is from RNAcentral.
UCAUAUGCUUGUCUCAAAGAUUAAGCCAUGCAUGUCUAAGAUCGCUAGGAACAGGUUCACGCCUGUUUACGAGUAAUCUGCGGAAGGCUCAUUAUAACAGUUACAAACUUAGCUACUAGCUUCUUUUAUAAGGAUAACACAGUCAAAUGCAGUGAUAAUACUUGAAUCAACGUCAGUGAAUUGUAUAGCUGACAAACAGUAGCAAACAAACGGAAGGUGUGCUACAACAUCUCUUCGGAGAUGGGUUGACCACAGUAUUGUGGCCUAGAAGAAGUAUUUCUUCCUUAUCAGCUAGUUGUUUCAGUAAGGGUGAAACAAGGCUAUCACGGGUACGGGGAAUCAGUGUUUGAUUCCGGAGAGGGAGCCUGAGAAAUGGCUACUACAUCUAAGGACGGCAGCAGGCGCGAAAAUUACCCAAUCCUAACAUUUGGGAGGUAGUGACAAGAAAUAACGUCCUUACAUUACAAGUGGAAGGGUACCGCAAGGUUUGGAAUGGUUCUAGUUCAAACUUCUAUUAGAGUAACAAUUGGAGGACAAGUCUUUUGGGCCAGCACCCGCGGUAAUUCCAGCUCCAAAAGCAUAUACUAAAAUUGCUGUAGUUAAAACGCUCGUAGUUUAUAUGAAGGGUUGGUUGUCGUGGUUCAGAAUGCGUCCUCUGACAGGAUGGCUCGCUUUGCGGGCGUUCUGCCAGAUGGGUGUAUUCUCUCCGGCACGUAUGUGGCAAUGAUUCGUUGGGCCUCUUCUCCCGACGGCUUUGCCAUGUGUGGGCCACGAUGCUGACCCUGCUUUUUGCAACCGUGAACAAAUUAAUGUGUUCAACGCGGGCAAUGUACGUUCUUACGAACGUUUAGCUUGAAUAAUUUAGCAUGGGACCACUAAAUCGUAGCAUCUUCGGGUGCUACGGAAGGGAAACAGGAGCCAGGAAGAGGACUCUGGUAUUGCGCGUCUAGAGGUGAAAUUCCGACAUUUUCGCAAGACGAACGGAGGCGUAGGCUGUCAUAGCCCAUCACAUCUUUAUUGAUCAGGAACGAAAGUCAGGGGAUCGAAGAUGAUUAGAUACCGUCGUAGUCCUGACCGUAAACGAUACUAACUCGAGUUUGAGUGUGAUACUUGUUUAGACGAUCGACACAGAAUCAAAGGGAAACCGUUAAGUCUUUGGGUUCUGGGGGGAGUAUAGUCGCAAGGCCGAAACUUAAAGGAAUUGACGGAAAGACACCACCAGGAGUGGAGUUUGCGGCUUAAUUCGACUCAACGCGGGAAAACUCACCAGGACAGGACAGAGUUAAGAUUGACAGGUUGAAUUUGGUCCUUUCUUGAUUCUCUGGAAGGUGGUGCAUGGCCGUUCUUAGUUCGUGGAGUGAUCUGUCUACUUAAUUGUGUUAACGAACGAGACCUUAACCUGUUAACUAGGCACUAGUUGGAUCGUUUUCGGACGGUUCAUUUGUUUCGGUGGUUACACUGAAAUCUAGGUAUCGUGUUCUUUGAACACGGCUUCUUAAAGGGACAAUACUGCGUAUUUAUUUUUAGCGUAGGGAAGAGUAAGGCAAUAACAGGUCUGUGAUGCCCUGAGAUAUCCUGGGCGGCACGCGUACUACAAUGUUAUUCACAACGAGUCUAUUCGUUAUUCACGUAACGAACCUGCACUUAAGUAGUGUGGGAAAACUUGUCAAAGGGUAACGAGACUGGGAUAGCUGUUUGUAAUUACAUCUUGAACGAGGAAUUCCUAGUAAGCGCAAGUCAUUAUCUUGCAUUGAUUACGUCCCUGUCUUUUGUACACACCGCCCGUCGCUCCUACCGAUUGGAUAGCAAGGUGAACUUGAUGGACUCGAUUUUUCGGGGAAAUCAAUUGAACCUUUCUAUCUGUAGGAAGGAGAAGUCGUAACAAGGUCUUC